RNAcentral lists this ribosomal RNA (502 nucleotides) under bacterium 19-L049641-122-013-C03. Its description in RNAcentral is "bacterial SSU rRNA". It matches the Rfam family "Bacterial small subunit ribosomal RNA", at positions 59 to 572 of the family's 1533-position model. The record is from RNAcentral.
CAGUCGAACGAUGAUGCCCAGCUUGCUGGGCGGAUUAGUGGCGAACGGGUGAGUAAUACGUGAGUAACCUGCCCUUGACUCUGGGAUAAGCCUGGGAAACUGGGUCUAAUACUGGAUACUACCGUCCACCGCAUGGUGGGUGGUGGAAAGGGUUUUACUGGUUUUGGAUGGGCUCACGGCCUAUCAGCUUGUUGGUGGGGUAAUGGCUCACCAAGGCGACGACGGGUAGCCGGCCUGAGAGGGUGACCGGCCACACUGGGACUGAGACACGGCCCAGACUCCUACGGGAGGCAGCAGUGGGGAAUAUUGCACAAUGGGCGGAAGCCUGAUGCAGCGACGCCGCGUGAGGGAUGACGGCCUUCGGGUUGUAAACCUCUUUCAGUAGGGAAGAAGCGAGAGUGACGGUACCUGCAGAAGAAGCGCCGGCUAACUACGUGCCAGCAGCCGCGGUAAUACGUAGGGCGCAAGCGUUGUCCGGAAUUAUUGGGCGUAAAGAGCUCGU